UACGUAGGGGGCAAGCGUUGUCCGGAUUUAUUGGGCGUAAAGCGCGUGUAGGCGGCCAUGUAGGUCUGACGUGAAAUUCCGAGGCUCAACCUCAGCAGGUCGUUGGAAACCAUAUGGCUAGAGUCCGGAAGAGGAGAGUGGAAUUCCGAGUGUAGAGGUGAAAUUCGUAGAUAUUCGGAAGAACACCAGUGGCGAAGGCGACUUACUGGACGACUGUUGACGCUGAGGUGCGAAAGCGUGGGGAGCAAACAGG
This 253-nucleotide ribosomal RNA is filed under the name uncultured bacterium. Its description in RNAcentral is "partial 16S ribosomal RNA". It matches the Rfam family "Bacterial small subunit ribosomal RNA", at positions 524 to 776 of the family's 1533-position model. The record is from RNAcentral.